RNAcentral lists this ribosomal RNA (344 nucleotides) under uncultured soil bacterium. RNAcentral's name for it is "bacterial SSU rRNA". It matches the Rfam family "Bacterial small subunit ribosomal RNA", at positions 26 to 375 of the family's 1533-position model. The record is from RNAcentral.
AGGGCGAACGCUGGCGGCGUGCUUAACACAUGCAAGUCGAGCGGAAAGGCCUUUCGGGGUACUCGAGCGGCGAACGGGUGAGUAACACGUGAGUAAUCUGCCCAUCGCUUCAGGAUAGCCAUCGGAAACGGUGAUUAAUACUGGAUAUGACAUUCCUUCGCAUGUUGGGGUGUGGAAAGUUUUUUCGGCGGUGGAUGUGCUCGCGGCCUAUCAGCUUGUUGGUGGGGUAAUGGCCUACCAAGGCUUUGACGGGUAGCCGGCCUGAGAGGGUGACCGGGCCACACUGGGACUGAGACACGGGCCCAGACUCCUACGGGAGCAGCAGUGGGGAUAUGGACAUGGCG